Ficedula albicollis (Collared flycatcher) is the source of this 4042-nucleotide long non-coding RNA. Lineage: Eukaryota; Metazoa; Chordata; Aves; Passeriformes; Muscicapidae. The record is from Ensembl.
GGAACCUGGUGGGCACUGGGGGGAGCAGAAGCACCCUCUGAAGGCACCGCGGGCAGGGCUAUCUCUCUCCAUCGGCCCGGCGCGGGCGGCCCCGGCCCUGCCCCUAGAGCUGGAGGGCGAGAGCCACAUCCAGCCCCGGGCGGCAGACGGGCAGCACCACCCUUCGCGGGCAGCACCUCCCCGCGGCGCGGUGGGAGCGAGAGGGAGGAUCAUCCCCGCCCCGCUCUCCCCUCCCUCCCUCCCUCCGAGCCUGCAGCCGCAGCCCCCCCCCCCCCCCCCCCCCCCCCCCCCCCCCCCCCCCCCCCCCCCCCCGAGCCUGCAGCCGCAGCGCCGGGCAGGGGAGCGGCGGCGCGGCAGGCACAGCCUCCCGGCGGCGGAGCAGCAGGCACAGCCUCCCGGCGGCGGAGCGCCCGGCGGAGCAGCAGGGCGGGCGGGCGUUGGCAGCGCCGGCCCCCCCCCCCCCCCCCCCCCCCCCCCCCCCCCCCCCCCCCCCCCCCCCCCCCCCCCCCCCCCCCCCCCCCCCCCCCCCCCCCCCCCCCCCCCCCCCCCCCCCCCCCCCCCCCCCCCCCCCCCCCCCCCCCCCCCCCCCCCCCCCCCCCCCCCCCCCCCCCCGGUGAGCGGCGCUGCCUGUUGCGCCGAGCGGAGCCGUGCCGAGCGGAGCGGAGCGGAGCGGAGCCGCCGGGGCCACACGCCGAGAAGUUUUGCGGGAAGGCGCCGCGAUGUGCUGGAUCCACUCCACGCAGAGCCAGCUUUGCCACACAAGCUGAGAAGAUGCCUGAGCUGCGUGGGCCGCCUGAGUGCAGGGAGAGUGAGCAGAUGGCAGCCCUCACUGCAGGCCUGAUGAUGCUGUUCCUGGUGGACUUGGUUUGAAACACUAGUUCUCAUCCCUUGUGGAAAACCACCGUGGUUCACGGCACAUGGACCUCAGCUGUUCAGCUUCCCAUUCCCAUACAUGUGUGGGUGUCCACUUGUGUGGGUGCAGCAACAUUUGACUCAGCUAGGUCUUGCUGGUGGGAAGGCAGGAAUUUCUGUGCUGGACAGUGUGAGUUACUGUGUAUACAGAUGAUGAGGUUGGGGGGCAACAAAAUCCUCUGUGCACUUGUUGGAGAGUGGGUGGGAGAGGGUCAGAGGGUGCUUGUCAUAAUCAUGUGCUAUUGCAGUAUUCAUGUAAGUGGUUCGUGUUUAUUUUGUUUUCUUACUGGUUUAAUACUGGAGCCUCUUCUGUAAAAAUGAAAGAGCAAUUAAAUCAUUACUUAUCAGUAAUGCUAUAAUGUUUCUGUCAUGAUGAAGAAGCACUUAAUUACUGUAUGUUACAUGUCACAUCAGAGCCUGUCAUGUUGCUUUUUUCUGGGAGACUCCCCAGGGAAGGACUCAGCCAAAUUCUUGGUACAUCCCUGCCUGACUACAGGGCGCACAGCUGAGCAAAACACACCUUGUUCACUUGGCAGCUACACUCAGGAGGAUUCUUUGUGUCUGUCAGAGGCAAACUAUCACACAGCUGAGCAAAACACACCUUGUUCACAAGGCAGCUACACUCAGGGGGAUUCUUUGUGUCUGUCAGAGGCAAACUAUCUACUUGUCUCUCAAACAUUGUGCAUUUCCACUUGUAAACUUCAUUUAUUGUUGGAGAAAAUAUGUCAUUCAGAGGAGAUAGGUGAAGGGUGAGGAGAAUCUGCAAGUUAUGCUCCCAGGGAGAAAAGAGUGGCUGGGGUGGAUGAAGCAGAACUUGAUUUGAGGCAGGGGGUUACAGGAGUGCCUGGAGAAGCCAAUAAAACCCAGAAAUUUGUCAAUCUGUUAUGGGAGAAGCCCUGAACUCUCUGCAGAGAGUGGAGGAAUAGGAGGGAGAAGCUGAAGUAAGAUGCCUGCCUGGAGAGGAUGCUCUGCAUGGAGAUAUGCAUCCAUUCAGGCAGAUGCUGGGGAGGGAGGGGGAGAUGCAGGGAAUUCCCCUGUUCAGUUCCCUAACCCUUGCUGACACCGUGACUUGCUUUCCACCUCCCACACCACCACUGAUCCUGCACUCUGCUCCAGAAAGGCUGUAAAGGCAAAGCUGAGCUAGAAGAGAGAGGUAUUAGCUUGCUUAUGCUUCUGGUGGUCAGUUACCCAGUCCCACCUGGGCUGGCCAGAGUGUUCCUACCUGGACACCUGGAGUUCCUGAGACCUGGGUUGGUGGAAGACUUCCCACUGCUCCUGCUGUGAGGCUGUUUCCCACUCAGUGGGGUGGGGAAGGAAAGGUUCCAGCCCCUCUGGUGGCUGCUGGGUUGAUCUGCCUCUCCCAUAUUGCUACCCCACAGUUUGGCUCUUCAAGCUGAUAUUUGGCUUUUCCCUGCUCAGCCCUCACAACGGCUGAAGAGGAAAGAUAUUUUUUCUUUCUAGGAGGUGAAUCAUAAAUAAUGUCCAUGCUCUGCUUUCCCACAGAAAGGUUUUUAAACCAGCUGAAUGUGCCCUUUGAAACACAGGGAAGAUGCAGUGUACAUAAUGAAGUCAUCCCUUGUAUGCUUCUAUCUGCUUUGUAUGUAUUUUUAAAAAUUUUUAAGCUGGGACACCACCUACCCUGCUGUAAUGUCUUCCUGGGUGAGGUACAGAAGUGUGGAGGUCAGAUCCUUCCUUACCUGCAGUAGUUUAAUGUAAGUCCAUUAAAAUCAAAAGAGCAGUUCUCAUUUUUCACAGUAAAGAUCCUCUUGCAGAAUGUAUUUUUAACUGCCAGCAUCCUCACUGCGAGGGAAAGAAAUCCAUGGUAAUUUGGGGAGAAUAUUUAGCCAGUCAGCUUUAAAGAUUCUCCUAUUUUAGUUGUGCCUAGGGAUUCCUAUCAGAGAAAAAGAUGCUGAUAAAGGUGAUGGUUUGGGACAAGUUUAAUUCAACAUUGACUUAAGCUGUCAGGGCUAAGUAGAUCAAGAAGAAUAGCACUCAAAUUAUGACAGCUUCAAGGCUUUGUAGAUAGAGAAUCUAAUUUUAAUUAUGAUCUUCACUGGAUUUUGAAAAGAUCAUAGUCUUUCAUCAGUGCCUAGAAGGACAAGAAGCAUAUACAUGAACUCUUCCACCUUAAAGGUAGGAGCAAACCUGUCUUUUGUUUUAGCCCAAAGCAUGUGAAGGCCAACAUAACUUUUGUUCCUUUUUCUUGAAUUAUGUGGCACAAUGUUAUUUUUUGCAGAGUUAUUACUAUACUGAAAAUGUUGUUGCUAUACUGCAAGGACAAUAAAGCAGACUUUCCUAAAAGCAAAAUUUUUCUUCAGUUGACUGAAGACAUCCCUCCCUCCCAGUUUAGAGGUAUCUCCCUCACUCAACAAGAUUUAAAAAAAAUAAGCUACUUUUAAAAUAUCAGUCUCAGGCUUUGUCUUAAGUUAAAAACUUUUAAGCCAGAGAUUUAUUAAGGUUAGUGUUUAUAAUGCUGGCAUUAUGUCACUUGCUUCUAUGAGGAAUUUUUGGACAAAUAGUUUGCAAGCAGGCGUCCUGCAUUUGAAAAAAUCUUGUUUUGCAGGCUUGUUUAACUUAUUUUAGAUACAGUGGCUAUCUCUACCUAAAAUCCUUAUCAUUGUCAAGGAAGUGAGAAUUUCUCAGGUCUAUCAUCACUCUUAAUUCUGUUAAAUGUAAAGCACCAUGAAUGUUAACCUUUGUUGUCUGUUGCCAGCCUCUUCUAGGACCUGAUCAUUCUUAGAUGGGGACAGAUCUGGGCUGGUCUGCUGGGGUGCAUGAUACCAACAAAGAAAAGAAGAAACAAGGAGAAACUCCUGUUGAAAUAGAGGACAACUUUUCAACUUUUAGACCAGUAUACCUGAGUGAAGCUCACUUGUGAAAGAAAGAAUCUAUGGAGCAUGAUUGGAAAGGUGUUCAGAAAACAGAUGGUUCACUUUUAUUGUUUCCCUUUUUCUUGUUUUUCACUUUUGAAAUUGAUGUCCUGCAAAAUUUUACAGUGAUUGGAGAAAUAGAAAGUGAAUUGCCACAGCCAAAUGAGGAUUUUUAAUAAGAGGAAGGAAAGGGGUUUUUGUUAAGUCAGAUUGUCUUGGACUCUGCUAGCAUGUAAUUUUUUUCCAGUGGCUAAUUAACU